AGAAAAACAACCAGGGGAACUUGACUUGAACUGGGAGUGGAGCAGGAUAAGUACAAGUUAAGUCCCUGUUAUGGUUACGCUGGUGAAAAGAGACAAUGGAUGAAUUUUAAAAAAAGAAGUUGCAAAGUACAGCUUAGAUUUGCACGGCUGCCUGCUAACAGCAUGAACAAAAUAAUAUGGAGAUCAGUGAAAAGUCAACCAGUCUCAUGUGGCCUUGGAUCUGGUUAUUCACCUUCCUCAGCACUUGAAUAUUACCUAAAACUCAACAACAUAUAGUUAGAGAUCAACUCAGGCCUAAUUCCUGUGGGUUUUGUAACAUGGAUCUCAUACUCAGAUAGCUGCAAGCACAAUUUGAGAAUCCAGCCCAGGAUCACAUGUUUUGUUUAGUCAUCAUUGUCUCCCUUGAUACAGAACAGAUUUCUGAAUUUUCAUUGUCAUUAGUGGCAUUGACAAUUUUGAAGAAUAAAGGCCAGCUACUUUUAGAAUGUUCAUCACUUUGGGUUUGUCUGACAAUGUCACAUCUGAAGAUGACAUCAGUUGGUUUUUGAAUCUCAAAUCAUCAUUGCAUCUCAAGAAUAAGUGCAUUUUUGGGUGCCUGGGUGGCUCAGCUGGUUAAGCGACUGCCUUUGGCUCAGGUCAUGAUCCUGGAGUCCCAGGAUCGAGUCCCAC
This is a long non-coding RNA of Zalophus californianus (California sea lion), 669 nucleotides long. RefSeq lists it as uncharacterized. The record is from RefSeq and is a predicted model, not a curated record. NCBI's taxonomy places the organism in Eukaryota, Metazoa, Chordata, Mammalia, Carnivora, Otariidae. The transcript is spliced from 4 exons.